Molecule: ribosomal RNA, 543 nt
Filed under: Triticum aestivum (bread wheat)
Lineage: Eukaryota; Viridiplantae; Streptophyta; Magnoliopsida; Poales; Poaceae
Description: partial small subunit ribosomal RNA
Source: RNAcentral
AUGUUCGGCGUCGUGUUCCCGGACCACACCUUCCCCCUCGACGCCACCGCCUUCGCGCAGGUCGCGCCGGCCUCCUGGCUCCUCGACCUCUCCACGCUCUCCCUCCCCUCCGCGCCCCGCUCCGCCGUCGUCUUCCUGCUCCCGCCCGCCGCGGCCGCGCUGCCCCCGGGCAAGGCCGUCGCGGUCUACUACCAGGCGGCCGCCAACCGCCCCUUCGCCUUCCUAGGCGCGCUCGGCCCCGCGCGCCCCUCCGCCACCUUCCAGCUCCCGGAGGCCGGGGACGAGCCGGAGCCCCCUGCCGGGCCCGCGAAGCUGGGCGUCGCCGUGGAGGACGCCGCCGCGCUGCCCUCGCCCCCCGACGAGCAGCGCGCGGAGCGGGUCGCGCUCCGCGUCGGCGAGAACCUCUUCAAUUUCAUGCAGUCGUUCUGCGCCGCCGACGGCGGCAAGCUGGUAGUGCCCACGGAUAUUCUGGACCGCUGGUUCCGCAAGUUCCAGGAGAGGGCCAAGAAGGAUCCCACCUAUCUGAAAAGCUUUGACUUCUGA